GAGUUUGAUCAUGGCUCAGACUGAACGCUGGCGGCAGGCCUAACACAUGCAAGUCGAGCGGAUGACGGGAGCUUGCUCCUUGAUUCAGCGGCGGACGGGUGAGUAAUGCCUAGGAAUCUGCCUGGUAGUGGGGGACAACGUUUCGAAAGGAGCGCUAAUACCGCAUACGUCCUACGGGAGAAAGCAGGGGACCUUCGGGCCUUGCGCUAUCAGAUGAGCCUAGGUCGGAUUAGCUAGUUGGUGGGUAAUGGCUCACCAAGGCGACGAUCCGUAACUGGUCUGAGAGGAUGAUCAGUCACACUGGAACUGAGACACGGUCCAGACUCCUACGGGAGGCAGCAGUGGGGAAUAUUGGACAAUGGGCGAAAGCCUGAUCCAGCCAUGCCGCGUGUGUGAAGAAGGUCUUCGGAUUGUAAAGCACUUUAAGUUGGGAGGAAGGGCAGUAAGUUAAUACCUUGCUGUUUGACGUUACCGACAGAAUAAGCACCGGCUAACUCUGU
RNAcentral lists this ribosomal RNA (500 nucleotides) under bacterium enrichment culture clone ALO1_GLFRUDD03GTRD2. Its description in RNAcentral is "bacterial SSU rRNA". It matches the Rfam family "Bacterial small subunit ribosomal RNA", at positions 9 to 506 of the family's 1533-position model. The record is from RNAcentral.